UGGUCAAGUUAUUAAGGGUGCAGGGCGGAUGCCUUGGCACUAGGAGCCGAUGAAGGACGUGAUAAGCUGCGAUAAGCUUCGGGGAGUUGCACGUAAACUUUGAUCCGAAGAUUUCCGAAUGAGGAAACUCACUUAGAGUAAUGUCUAAGUAUCAUUAAGUGAAUACAUAGCUUAAUGAGGGGAACUCAGGGAACUGAAACAUCUAAGUACCUGAAGGAAGAGAAAGAAAUUCGAUUCCGUAAGUAGCGGCGAGCGAACGCGGAUUAGCCCAAACCAAUAAAGUUUUCUUUAUUGGGGUUGCGGACAUAUCAUAACGAAGAGGUAUCGUAAUUGAAGAGGUUUGGAAAGACCCACCACAGAAGGUAAUAGUCCUGUAUGUUAAACGAGAAGACUUUAGAUAUGAUCCAGAGUACCACGGGACACGUGAAACCCUGUGGGAAGCAGGAGGGACCACCCUCCAAGGCUAAAUACUACCUAGUGACCGAUAGCGUAUAGUACCGUGAGGGAAAGGUGAAAAGAACCCCGGGAGGGGAGUGAAAUAGAACCUGAAACCCUGCACUUACAAGCUGUGGAAGCACAUUUCUUGUGUGACCGCGUACUUUUUGUAGAACGGGCCAACGAGUUACGUUAAGUAGCAAGGUUAAGCACUUAAGGUGCGGAGCCGUAGCGAAAGCGAGUUUUAACUGAGCGUUCAGUUACUUGACGUAGACCCGAAACCGGGCGACCUACCCAUGAGCAGGAUGAAGCGAAAGUAAAAUUUCGUGGAGGUCCGAACCCACGAGCGUUGAAAAGCUCGGGGAUGACUUGUGGGUAGCGGUGAAAUUCCAAUCGAGCCCGGAGAUAGCUGGUUCUCCCCGAAAUAGCUUUAGGGCUAGCCUCAAGGUGAGAGAUACGGAGGUAGAGCACUGAAUGUCCUAGGGGGUAUUGCACCUACCGAAGACUAUCAAACUCCGAAUGCCGUCAUCUUAUACUUGGGAGUCAGACUGUGGGUGAUAAGAUUCAUAGUCGAAAGGGCAACAGCCCAGAUCGUCAGCUAAGGUCCCUAAAUGUAAGUUAAGUGGUAAAGGAUGUGGGAUUGCACAGACAACCAGGAUGUUGGCUUAGAAGCAGCCACUCAUUCAAAGAGUGCGUAAUAGCUCACUGGUCGAGUGAUCCUGCGCCGAAGAUUUCCGGGGCUAAAACUUACUACCGAAGCUACGGCAUCAGUAAUGAUGGGUAGGGGAGCUUCCCAUACGGGUUGAAGCAUGACCGUAAGGACAUGUGGACAGUAUGGGAGUGAGAAUGUUGGCAUGAGUAGCGAGAUGUGGGUGAGAAUCCCACAGGCCGUAAACCCAAGGUUUCCAGGGGAAGGUUCGUCCGCCCUGGGUUAGUCGGGACCUAAGCUGAGGCCGAAAGGCGUAGGUGAUGGACAACAGGUUGAUAUUCCUGUACUACCGAUAACCGUUUGAGAGAAGGGAUGACACAGUAGGAUAAGCUAAGCACACUGUUGGUUAUGUGUGCCCAAGCAUUGAGGCAGUCAAAGCAGGCAAAUCCGCUUUGAUAAUGCUGGGAUGUGAUGGGGAGCGAAAUUUAGUAGCGAAGUAGCUGAUUUCACACUGUCAAGAAAAGUCUCUAUCGAGGUUAAAGGUACCCGUACCGCAAACCGACACAGGUGGGUGAGGAGAGUAUCCUAAGGCCAGCGAGAGAACUGUUGUUAAGGAACUCGGCAAAAUGACCCCGUAACUUAGGGAUAAGGGGUGCCACCAUCCGGUGGCCGCAGAGAAUAGGCCCAAGCGACUGUUUACCAAAAACAUAGGUUUCUGCUAAGUCGCAAGACGAUGUAUAGGAGCUGACGCCUGCCCGGUGCUGGAAGGUUAAGGGGAUCUGUUAGAGCAAUCGAAGCAGUGAACUUAAGCCCCAGUAAACGGCGGCCGUAACUAUAACGGUCCUAAGGUAGCGAAAUUCCUUGUCGGGUAAGUUCCGACCCGCACGAAAGGCGUAACGAUUUGGGCACUGUCUCAACAACAGACUCGGUGAAAUUGUAAUUCCGGUGAAGAUGCCGGAUACCUGCGACAGGACGGAAAGACCCCAUGGAGCUUUACUGUAGCUUGACAUUGGGUCUUGGUACUACAUGUACAGGAUAGGUGGGAGGCUUUGAAACCAGGACGCCAGUUUUGGCGGAGCCAUCCUUGGGAUACCACCCUUGUAGUACUGGGACUCUAACCAUAGGCCAUGAAUCUGGUCUUGGGACACUGUCAGGUGGGCAGUUUGACUGGGGCGGUCGCCUCCCAAAAGGUAACGGAGGCGCUCAAAGGUUCUCUCAGUACGGUCGGAAAUCGUACGUAGAGUGUAAAGGCAAAAGAGAGCUUGAUUGCAAGACAUACAGGUCGAGCAAGGAUGAAAAUCGGACUUAGUGAUCCGGUGGUUCUGCGUGGAAGGGCCAUCGCUCAACGGAUAAAAGCUACCCUGGGGAUAACAGGCUUAUCUCCCCCAAGAGUCCACAUCGACGGGGAGGUUUGGCACCUCGAUGUCGGCUCAUCACAUCCUGGGGCUGUAGUAGGUCCCAAGGGUUGGGCUGUUCGCCCAUUAAAGUGGUACGCGAGCUGGGUUCAGAACGUCGUGAGACAGUUCGGUCCCUAUCCGUCGCAGGCGUAGGAAAUUUGAGAAGACCUGUCCUUAGUACGAGAGGACCGGGAUGGACGUACCUCUGGUGUACCAGUUGUCCUGCCAAGGGCAUGGCUGGGUAGCUAUGUACGGAAUGGAUAAGCGCUGAAAGCAUCUAAGCGCGAAGCCAACUUCAAGAUAAGAUUUCCCACCGCAAGGGUAAGACCCCAGAAAGACUAUCUGGUUGAUAGGUCGAAGGUGUAAGUGCAGCAAUGUAUUUAGCUUAUCGAUACUAAUAGGUCGAGGACUUGACCAAU
Molecule: ribosomal RNA, 2900 nt
Filed under: Clostridioides difficile
Lineage: Bacteria; Bacillati; Bacillota; Clostridia; Peptostreptococcales; Peptostreptococcaceae
Description: 23S ribosomal RNA
Rfam family: Bacterial large subunit ribosomal RNA
Source: RNAcentral